This 242-nucleotide ribosomal RNA is filed under the name uncultured bacterium. RNAcentral describes it as "partial 16S ribosomal RNA". It matches the Rfam family "Bacterial small subunit ribosomal RNA", at positions 524 to 760 of the family's 1533-position model. The record is from RNAcentral.
UACGAGAGGGGGCAAGCGUUGUUCGGAAUUACUGGGCGUAAAGGGCGCGUAGGCGGCCCGCUAAGUCGAACGUGAAAUCCCCGGAGCUCAACUCGGGAACUGCGUCCGAUACUGGCGGGCUUGGAAUCCGGGAGAGGGAUGUGGAAUUCCAGGUGUAGCGGUGAAAUGCGUGAGAUAUCUGGAGGAACACCGGUGGCGAAGGCGGCAUCCUGGACCAACACUGACGCUGAACAGGCGAAAGC